Molecule: ribosomal RNA, 467 nt
Filed under: uncultured bacterium
Lineage: Bacteria
Description: partial 16S ribosomal RNA
Rfam family: Bacterial small subunit ribosomal RNA
Source: RNAcentral
GACGAACGCUGGCGGCGUGCUUAACACAUGCAAGUCGAACGGAAAGGCCCUGCUUUUGUGGGGUGCUCGAGUGGCGAACGGGUGAGUAACACGUGAGUAACCUGCCCUUGACUUUGGGAUAACUUCAGGAAACUGGGGCUAAUACCGGAUAGGAGCUCCUGCUGCAUGGUGGGGGUUGGAAAGUUUCGGCGGUUGGGGAUGGACUCGCGGCUUAUCAGCUUGUUGGUGGGGUAGUGGCUUACCAAGGCUUUGACGGGUAGCCGGCCUGAGAGGGUGACCGGCCACAUUGGGAAUGAGAUACGGCCCAGACUCCGACGGGAGGCAGCAGUGGGGAAUAUUGCACAAUGGGCGGAAGCCUGAUGCAGCAAAGCCGCGUGCGGGAUGACGGCCUUCGGGUUGUAAACCGCUUUCGCCUGUGACGAAGCGUGAGUGACGGUAAUGGGUAAAGAAGCACCGGCUAACUACGU